CGAUUGAUCUCCGAGAAACACCAGCUUGUACUUUGCUAGAGGUGAAACCACCGCCAUUACGUUAGUUACUUGUGGCAAGCUACUUUGA
Ipomoea nil (Japanese morning glory) is the source of this 88-nucleotide long non-coding RNA. RefSeq lists it as uncharacterized. The transcript is spliced from 3 exons. NCBI's taxonomy places the organism in Eukaryota, Viridiplantae, Streptophyta, Magnoliopsida, Solanales, Convolvulaceae. The record is from RefSeq and is a predicted model, not a curated record.